This 587-nucleotide long non-coding RNA is filed under the name Marmota monax (woodchuck). The record is from RNAcentral. Lineage: Eukaryota; Metazoa; Chordata; Mammalia; Rodentia; Sciuridae.
AGAAAAAUAACUUAGUGGCUUAUAAGCCUGACAUAACCUUGAUAAAGAUAAGUUAAAAAAAAAAAAAGACUGCAUACAAAUCUUUCCCAUAAACAUAGGUACAAAGCCCUAAACGGAAUCUAGCAAUAUAUAAAAGGUCGUUUUUAUAACCAAAUACUUAAUAGAAGUCAUCUUACAAACAAAUUUGGGAUCCAGUAGGGAGAAACAAAGAACAGUGGGAAAGGAUUCUUCCUGAAGAUAAAGGGAAAGGAGCCCGAGUUUUGCUGGAGAGCUGUCCUAGAAGUCCUUGCUGGUUUGUGGGUGACAGGUGAGGGGAAAGCCUGAACUUGUCUCCCCUACAGCAUCGCCAGGGAGCAGAGUUGAUGACUGACAUCCAGAAGGUCGGGUCACCUCAGGUCUCCUCUUGAGAUGUGGAGAGUCAUGCUGACCCUGUGUAUCCAGAAGCCAAGACCUGAUAAUGGGACAUGCCUUCAGGAUGUGGUUGUGGCCAUCUGCUUCCACUGGCCAGUCCUCGAUGACCAGCUUCAUUCUAGCUUGCUGUCGCAGCACCGGGGCGGCUGCUCUGGAAUCCCAUUCCUCCUGCAGGG